This 491-nucleotide ribosomal RNA is filed under the name uncultured bacterium. Its description in RNAcentral is "partial 16S ribosomal RNA". It matches the Rfam family "Bacterial small subunit ribosomal RNA", at positions 30 to 507 of the family's 1533-position model. The record is from RNAcentral.
AUUGAACGCUGGCGGCAGGCUUAACACAUGCAAGUCGAGCGGUAACAGAGAGAAGCUUGCUUCUCUGCUGACGAGCGGCGGACGGGUGGGUAAUGCCUAGGAAUCUGCCUAGUAGUGGGGGAUAACUUGCCGAAAGGUAAGCUAAUACCGCAUACGUCCUACGGGAGAAAGGAGGGGACCUUCGGGCCUUUCGCUAUUAGAUGAGCCUAGGUCGGAUUAGUUAGUUGGUGAGGUAAUGGCUCACCAAGACCGCGAUCCGUAACUGGUCUGAGAGGAUGAUCAGUCACACUGGAACUGAGACACGGUCCAGACUCCUACGGGAGGCAGCAGUGGGGAAUAUUGGACAAUGGGGGGGAACCCUGAUCCAGCCAUGCCGCGUGUGUGAAGAAGGUCUUAGGAUUGUAAAGCACUUUAAGUUGGGAGGAAGAGCAGUUAACUAAUAUUUGACUGUUUUGACGUUACCGACAGAAUAAGCACCGGCUAACUUCGUG